GACGAACGCUGGCGGCGUGCUUAACACAUGCAAGUCGAACGGAAAGGCCCUGCUUUUGUGUGGUGCUCGAGUGGCGAACGGGUGAGUAACACGUGAGUAACCUGCCCUUGACUUUGGGAUAACUUCAGGAAACUGGGGCUAAUACCGGAUAGGAGCUCCUGCUGCAUGGUGGGGGUUGGAAAGUUUCGGCGGUUGGGGAUGGACUCGCGGCUUAUCAGCUUGUUGGUGGGGUAGUGGCUUACCAAGGCUUUGACGGGUAGCCGGCCUGAGAGGGUGACCGGCCACAUUGGGACUGAGGUACGGCCCAGACUCCUACGGGAGGCAGCAGUGGGGAAUAUUGCACAAUGGGCGGAAGCCUGAUGCAGCAACGCCGCGUGCGGGAUGACGGCCUUCGGGUUGUAAACCGCUUUCUCCUGAGACGAAGCGUGAGUGACGGUAAUGGGUAAAGAAGCACCGGCUAACUACGUG
Molecule: ribosomal RNA, 468 nt
Filed under: uncultured bacterium
Lineage: Bacteria
Description: partial 16S ribosomal RNA
Rfam family: Bacterial small subunit ribosomal RNA
Source: RNAcentral